GGGCGCGCUGCCGAGUGGGAUCGGAAGCAGGCCGUAACCCUGUUGUCCUUGGCGACUAGGGGGUUCGAUUCCUCACGCGCCCGCCA
RNAcentral lists this transfer RNA (86 nucleotides) under Planctomycetaceae bacterium. RNAcentral describes it as "tRNA-Tyr". Lineage: Bacteria; Pseudomonadati; Planctomycetota; Planctomycetia; Planctomycetales; Planctomycetaceae. The record is from RNAcentral.